This 253-nucleotide ribosomal RNA is filed under the name uncultured bacterium. RNAcentral's name for it is "partial 16S ribosomal RNA". It matches the Rfam family "Bacterial small subunit ribosomal RNA", at positions 524 to 776 of the family's 1533-position model. The record is from RNAcentral.
UACAGAGGGGGCAAGCGUUAUUCGGAAUUAUUGGGCGUAAAGGGCGCGUAGGCGGCCUUGCAAGUGGAAGGUGAAAUCCCUCGGCUUAACCGAGGAACUGCCUUCCAGACUGCGAGGCUUGAGACCGGGAGAGGUGAGUGGAAUUCCCAGUGUAGCGGUGAAAUGCGUAGAUAUUGGGAGGAACACCAGUGGCGGAGGCGGCUCACUGGACCGGUACUGACGCUGAUGCGCGAAAGCGUGGGGAGCAAACGGG